UAACGCGAAGAACCUUACCUACUCUUGACAUCCAGAGAACUUAGCAGAGAUGCUUUGGUGCCUUCGGGAACUCUGAGACAGGUGCUGCAUGGCUGUCGUCAGCUCGUGUUGUGAAAUGUUGGGUUAAGUCCCGCAACGAGCGCAACCCUUAUCCUUUGUUGCCAGCGAUUCGGUCGGGAACUCAAAGGAGACUGCCGGUGAUAAACCGGAGGAAGGUGGGGAUGACGUCAAGUCAUCAUGGCCCUUACGAGUAGGGCUACACACGUGCUACAAUGGCGCAUACAAAGAGAAGCGACCUCGCGAGAGCAAGCGGACCUCACAAAGUGCGUCGUAGUCCGGAUCGGAGUCUGCAACUCGACUCCGUGAAGUCGGAAUCGCUAGUAAUCGUGGAUCAGAAUGCCACGGUGAAUACGUUCCCGGGCCUUGUAC
This 429-nucleotide ribosomal RNA is filed under the name uncultured Pantoea sp. RNAcentral describes it as "bacterial SSU rRNA". It matches the Rfam family "Bacterial small subunit ribosomal RNA", at positions 957 to 1386 of the family's 1533-position model. The record is from RNAcentral. Lineage: Bacteria; Pseudomonadati; Pseudomonadota; Gammaproteobacteria; Enterobacterales; Erwiniaceae.